RNAcentral lists this ribosomal RNA (1070 nucleotides) under uncultured bacterium. RNAcentral's name for it is "bacterial SSU rRNA". It matches the Rfam family "Bacterial small subunit ribosomal RNA", at positions 8 to 1064 of the family's 1533-position model. The record is from RNAcentral.
AGAGUUUGAUCCUGGCUCAGAACUAACGCUGGUGGCGUGUCUUAGUCAUGCAAGUCGAACGAGAAAGCACCUUCCGGUGCAAGUAAAGUGGGGAACGGGUGAGUAACACGUGGGUAACCUACCUUUGAGUGGGGAACAUUCCCUCUAACGAGGGGCUAAUACCGCAUAAGGCAACGGCUCCUCAUGGAUACAGUUGUUAAAGGGGCACCUUCUGUUGUCUCGCUUGAAGAUGGGCCCCCGGUCCAUUAUCUUGUUGGUGAGGUAACGGGUCACCAAGGCAACGAUGGAUAGCCGGCCUGAGAGGGUGUACGGCCACACUGGAACUGAGAAAGGUCCAGUCCCCUACGGGGGCCAGCUGCUAGAAAUUUGCGCAAUGGGCGAAAGCCUGACGCUGCGACGCCACGUGGAGGAUGAAGCCCUUACGGGUGUAAACUCCUGUCGAAGGGAAGAAUGCAGGAAAUAACUUUUCCUGUUUGACGGUACCUUCAGAGGAAGCCCCGGCUAACUUCGUGCCAGCAGCCGCGGUAAUACGAAGGGGGCAAGCGUUGUUCGGAUUUAUUGGGGGUAAAGGGCGUGCAGGCGGACCGAUAAGUGGUUUGUGAAAUCUGUGGGUUCAACCAACAACUUGCAGUGGAAACUAUCGCUCUUGAGUCCAGGAGAGGAGAGCGGAAUCUCAGGGGUAGCGGUGAAAUGGGUAGAUUUCUGGGAGAACUCCGGUGGGGAAGGCGGCUCUCUGGCCUGAUACUGACGCUGAGGCGCGAAAGUUAGGGGAGCGACCGGGAUUAGAUACCCCGGUAUUCCUACCUGUAAACGAUGGGUAUUAGGUGUGGGAGGCAUUGACCCCUCCAGUGCCGUAGCUAACGCAUUAAGUACCCCGCCUGGGGAGUACGGCCGCAAGGCUGAAACUCAAAGGAAUUGACGGGGACCCGCACAAGCAGUGGAGCAUGUUGCUUAAUUCGAUGCAACGCGAAGAACCUUACCAGGGCUUGACAUCCCAGGAACUUCUUGGAAACAGGAAGGUGCCUUCGGGAACCUCGAGACAGGUGCUGCAUGGCUGUCGUCAGCUCGUG